This 31-nucleotide non-coding RNA is filed under the name Rattus norvegicus (Norway rat). The record is from RNAcentral. Lineage: Eukaryota; Metazoa; Chordata; Mammalia; Rodentia; Muridae.
UGACAAAUGAAGCAACAGAUAUGUGGAUGGA